This 855-nucleotide ribosomal RNA is filed under the name uncultured Neocallimastigales. RNAcentral's name for it is "partial large subunit ribosomal RNA". It matches the Rfam family "Eukaryotic large subunit ribosomal RNA", at positions 1 to 644 of the family's 3401-position model. Lineage: Eukaryota; Fungi; Neocallimastigomycota; Neocallimastigomycetes; Neocallimastigales. The record is from RNAcentral.
CGUCUAUAUACGUAUAGCAUAUCAAUAAGCGGAGGAAAAGGUACCUACGCUUAGGAUGUUGAAGAUGUAGCACAUCAUACACGCAUGACACACUGCAUAUCAAUAAGCGGAGGAAAAGAAACUAACAAGGAUUCCCUUAGUAACGGCGAGUGAAGCGGGAAGAGCUCAAAUUUGAAAUCUUCAAGAUUUUACCUUGACGAAUUGUAGUUUAAAGAAGUGUUUUCUGUUGAAGUUUCGGUAAAAGUUCUUUGGAAUAGGACAUCAUAGAGGGUGAGAAUCCCGUAUUUGACCAUUAUUUCCAGCUUUGUGAUACACUUUCAAAGAGUCGGAUUGUUUGGGAAUGCAGUCCAAAAUGGGUGGUAAAUUUCAUCUAAAGCUAAAUAUUGGCGAGAGACCGAUAGCGAACAAGUACCGUGAGGGAAAGAUGAAAAGAACUUUGAAAAGAGAGUUAAACAGUACGUGAAAUUGUCAAAAGGGAAGCGUUUGACACCAGUGUUGUUUUCUCGAAAAUCAAUUAAAAAUGGCUUGGAUUUUGUGUUGUAUUGACCUUAUAAGCUUUCUGCACUUUUUUCAUGUCUUUUUUAAUGCACUUUUCGUUUAACAAGUCAACAUCAAUUUCUUUUGUUGUAAAAGGGUCAUUGGAAGGUGGCUUUCUUUUCGGAGAAAGUGUUUAUAGCCUUUGACUCCUGCAAUCGGAGAGACUGAGGUCUGCAGCGUAGAUCCUUCGGGGAUUAGAUUACAUUUGUGCUAAGUUACUAGCCGUUUAUAGACAACUUGUUGACUAUGAUUCAGUCCUGUAGCUUACUCGCUUAUGUAUUUUACCUACGCUUAGGAUGUUGAAGUCAUCGUAUCGCG